This 403-nucleotide ribosomal RNA is filed under the name bacterium. RNAcentral's name for it is "partial 16S ribosomal RNA". It matches the Rfam family "Bacterial small subunit ribosomal RNA", at positions 355 to 776 of the family's 1533-position model. The record is from RNAcentral.
UGGGGAAUAUUGCACAAUGGGGGAAACCCUGAUGCAGCGACGCCGCGUGAACGAAGAAGGUAUUCGUAUCGUAAAGUUCUGUCCUAUGGGAAGAUAAUGACAGCACCAUAGAAGAAAGCUCCGGCUAAAUACGUGCCAGCAGCCGCGGUAAUACGUAUGGAGCGAGCGUUGUCCGGAAUUAUUGGGCGUAAAGGGUACGCAGGCGGUUUAAUAAGUCGAAUGUUAAAGAUCGGGGCUCAACCCCGCAAAGCAUUGGAAACUGAUAAACUUGAGUAGUGGAGAGGAAAGUGGAAUUCCUAGUGUAGUGGUGAAAUACGUAGAUAUUAGGAGGAAUACCAGUAGCGAAGGCGACUUUCUGGACACAAACUGACGCUGAGGUACGAAAGCGUGGGGAGCAAACAGG